AACGAACGCUGGCGGCGCGUCUUAAGCAUGCAAGUCGAACGGCAAGAGAGGAGCUUGCUUCUCUCCUAGAGUGGCGGACUGGUGAGGAACACGUGGGUAAUCUACCCUUAAGAUGGGGAUAGCUGCUAGAAAUAGCAGGUAAUACCGAAUACACUCGGCAUAUCACAAGAGGUGUUGAGGAAAGGAAGCUACGGCUUCGCUUGAGGAUGAGCUUGCGUCCCAUUAGCUAGUCGGUGAGGUAAAGGCCCACCAAGGCGACGAUGGGUAUCCGGCCUGAGAGGGUGAACGGACACAUUGGGACUGAGAUACGGCCCAAACUCCUACGGGAGGCAGCAGCUAAGAAUAUUCCGCAAUGGACGGAAGUCUGACGGAGCGACGCCGCGUGGAUGAAGAAGGCUGAAAAGUUGUAAAAUCCUUUUGUUGAUGAAGAAUAAGGGUGAGAGGGAAUGCUCAUCUGAUGACGGUAAUCGACGAAUAAGCCCCGGCUAAUUACGUG
This 496-nucleotide ribosomal RNA is filed under the name uncultured bacterium. Its description in RNAcentral is "partial 16S ribosomal RNA". It matches the Rfam family "Bacterial small subunit ribosomal RNA", at positions 29 to 507 of the family's 1533-position model. The record is from RNAcentral.